UCACUCUAUAUUAACUAUAAAUCUAAAAUCUAAAUUUCAGGUGAAGAUGCCUGAAUUCCCAUGAAAGACAAGAAGACCCUGUAGAGUUUAAAUAAAAUAACCAACCACCCCUUGAUACUUAUUUUGAUUGGGGCGAUAAAGGAUUUCCUUUUACAUCCUUAAUUAAUACGAUAUUACUUCUUACUUCUUAUCCUAACUACUAGAAUUUAAACUAAACUACCUCAGGGAUAACAGGCUUAUCUUCCUAAAAAGUCCAAAUUAACAGGAAGGUUUGGCACCUCGAUGUUGGCUUAGAGAAACCUAAUAAAGCAAAAAUUAUAUAGGUUAGUUUGUUCAACUAUUAAACCUCU
Molecule: ribosomal RNA, 350 nt
Filed under: Polynoidae sp. 303 PB
Lineage: Eukaryota; Metazoa; Annelida; Polychaeta; Phyllodocida; Polynoidae
Description: partial 16S ribosomal RNA
Rfam family: Bacterial large subunit ribosomal RNA
Source: RNAcentral